This 494-nucleotide ribosomal RNA is filed under the name uncultured bacterium. Its description in RNAcentral is "partial 16S ribosomal RNA". It matches the Rfam family "Bacterial small subunit ribosomal RNA", at positions 28 to 507 of the family's 1533-position model. The record is from RNAcentral.
GACGAACGCUGGCGGCGUGCUUAACACAUGCAAGUCGAACGGUGAAGCGCCUUCCUUUUUGGUGGGUGUGGAUGAGUGGCGAACGGGUGAGUAACACGUGAGUAACCUGCCCCCUUCUUCUGGAUAACCGCAUGAAAGUGUGGCUAAUACGGGAUAUUCUGGGUCUGUCGCAUGAUUGGUCUGGGAAAGAUAUUGUGUCGGUGGGGGAUGGGCUCGCGGCCUAUCAGCUGGUUGGUGGGGUGAUGGCCUACCAAGGCGGGGACGGGUAGCCGGCCUGGGAGGGUGGCCGGCCACAGUGGGGCUGCGCCCCCGCCCCGACUCCGACGGGGGGCAGCCGUGUAGAGUAGUGCACAGUGGGCGCAAUCCUGAUGCAGCGCCGCCGCGGGGGGGAUGGCGGCCUUCGCGUUGUGACCCUCUUUCGCCAGUGAAGCAGGCCUGCCUCGUUUGUGGGUGGGUUGACGGUAGCUGGAUAAGAAGCGCCGGCUAACUACGUG